This 99-nucleotide transfer RNA is filed under the name Daldinia sp. FL1419. RNAcentral's name for it is "tRNA-Leu". It matches the Rfam family "tRNA". From Rfam's summary of the family: Transfer RNA (tRNA) molecules are approximately 80 nucleotides in length. Their secondary structure includes four short double-helical elements and three loops (D, anti-codon, and T loops). Further hydrogen bonds mediate the characteristic L-shaped molecular structure. tRNAs have two regions of fundamental functional importance: the anti-codon, which is responsible for specific mRNA codon recognition, and the 3' end, to which the tRNAs corresponding amino acid is attached (by aminoacyl-tRNA synthetases). tRNAs cope with the degeneracy of the genetic code in two manners: having more than one tRNA (with a specific anti-codon) for a particular amino acid; and 'wobble' base-pairing, i.e. permitting non-standard base-pairing at the 3rd anti-codon position. The record is from RNAcentral. Lineage: Eukaryota; Fungi; Ascomycota; Sordariomycetes; Xylariales; Hypoxylaceae.
GGCAAGAUGGCCGAGUUGGUUAUGGCGUGAGGUUAAGGUCACCUUAAUUCCUAAUUCCUCAUGGAGCAAUCCGCGUGGGUUCAAGUCCCACUCUUGUCA